Molecule: transfer RNA, 71 nt
Filed under: Ictidomys tridecemlineatus (thirteen-lined ground squirrel)
Lineage: Eukaryota; Metazoa; Chordata; Mammalia; Rodentia; Sciuridae
Description: Spermophilus tridecemlineatus (thirteen-lined ground squirrel) tRNA
Rfam family: tRNA
About the family: Transfer RNA (tRNA) molecules are approximately 80 nucleotides in length. Their secondary structure includes four short double-helical elements and three loops (D, anti-codon, and T loops).
Source: Rfam by way of RNAcentral
UGGGAUGUAGUUCAUUGGUAAGCACUUGUCUGAUAUUCAUGAGGACCUGGGUUCAAUCCCUAGCAUUGCAA